CUCAUACUCCCUCCGUUUGAGAAAACUUGUCUCUCAAAUAAAUGUAUCUAGCAUUAAGUUAGUGUUAGAUAUAUCCAUUUGAGAACCAAGCUUGAGACAAAUUUUUUCGGACAGAGGAAGUAUAUA
This is a non-coding RNA of Triticum aestivum (bread wheat), 126 nucleotides long. The record is from Rfam. Lineage: Eukaryota; Viridiplantae; Streptophyta; Magnoliopsida; Poales; Poaceae.